This is a long non-coding RNA of Carya illinoinensis, 1719 nucleotides long. RefSeq lists it as uncharacterized. The transcript is spliced from 3 exons. The record is from RefSeq and is a predicted model, not a curated record. Lineage: Eukaryota; Viridiplantae; Streptophyta; Magnoliopsida; Fagales; Juglandaceae.
UGUUCUUCGGUUCUGUGAGCGCCAUGAGUGUAUGUGUGUGUGUAUAACCAUCUAUCUAAGUUCUUCUUCGACGGGUGAUCACUUUUUACGGUGGGAUUUCCAAGCAGUUGAAUUUGGAGCGGCCCCUCAUCCGUCCUUGUGAUCACUACUUUUACCCAGGGAUUUACAAGCGGCUGAAUUUGGAACAGCCACUCAUCCUCCCUUUUGAGUAUGAUCUACUUCCUUUUUUACUUUUUUUUGACAUCACAUUCUCGUAUGCAUGCAUCAGCGUAGAGAUGAAGUUCAAGUACUUUUAAUUUCAUUACUAGUAAAAAGCGGCACACAAUUCCAAGUUUCACUGAUGUUUCCUACAAUAUCCCUGCAGAAGAAUUUUUUUUUUCAUGUUCUUUUUUCUGUCAUCAAUAUAUAAGAUUUGUUAGUUUUGAGUACCUUUCAACUAAUUUCAAGUGAUAUGAGUAAGAAAAUCCAGUUUGGUUGUUGGUCAUCUCAAUUUAAAAUUUUCUUAUUUAUAAAAUUCAGAACUUCUUUCAACUUGACACCUCUUUACAUGCAGAAUUUAUAAUUGUUUUCAAUUUCUCAUAAAUAAAUCUAAACUCAUCUUAAUAUCAAAAUAUAUCUACACUCAUCUUAGGUGAGCUGCACAAAAAUCACUUCACUAUCUUAACUCGCUAUUAUUAAUAAAAAACUUAACUCAUCUCAAUUCAGCUUAAUAUCUAAAUACAGCUUAGUAAGAAUGUGCAUGGAUUCUUCAACAACAUUUGAAGCCGAAGGGUUUUUAAUGGAUCCUACGAAAAAGGAAUGUAGCUCGUAAAUAAUAUAUCAAAGUAGAUUGCAAAUAAGUCUAGCUAAUCACUUUCAAAUUAUAAAUUAAUUGUGAAUUAUGUAUUCUGUGCACAAUUCUUAAGAACUAUAUUGCUCUUUGAUGAAAGUAAACUGUGUUUUCGCAGGCUUUUCCGAAUGAAAUUGUCUUUUUUUUUUUUUUUUUUAAACAAAUGAAAUCGUAGCCGCAGCUAGCGGUUGAUCCUCAGUGCUAAAGAAUUCAUUCUGUUUGUACUGCUGAGAAGCCUGCCUAGUUUACCACCUAACAACCCUUCAAAGCAACACACCAAAAACAAAUACAAAAUUAUUCAGUUUAAGACCCAGAUCUGAGCUUUUCAGGUGGGGAUGCUUCUACCAAGGGGUCCAUUAUGUGGCCAUCAUGGGCCUACCGGCCUGGAUUUUUAUUUAUUUUUAUUUAAUAUCUACUAAUAUCAUACACAUUGUUAGAGGAAGCAGUUUUGGAAGACAACCUGUCCAUCCCUCCAUCCCACUUUCAGCUGAUAGCAUGGAAACAAACAUAUUUCCUCUUGAACUUCUUGGAAAUGAUAAUUACGCGGAUUGGCGUGUCAAGAUGAAAAAUUAUUUGUUGGGUCAAGGUCUUUGGAAUCUUGUUGAAACAAGCUCGAAGCCCCCCAAACCAGAUGAUGAUGUGGUUGAAUUCGAGGCUUGGAGGAAGAGGAAUGAUAUGACUUUACAAGCAAUUCAAAGUUCAUGCGGGAUGGACAUACUAUCUCGGAUCAAUAACAUUUGUUCCGCAAAAAUUGCUUGGGAAAUGUUGGCUAAAAUGUUCAUGGAAAGUAAUGAACAGGACAAGUUAAUACAGACUAAAGAUGAUGAUUCGAUAAUUGAUGAAGGAAACUCUUCAAGUAAAAACAAUGCAGGUCUCUCUCUCUCUCUCUC